UCCUGGCUCAGAUUGAACGCUAGCGGCAGGCUUAAUACAUGCAAGUCGAGGGGCAGCACGGUUAGCAAUAACUGGUGGCGACCGGCGCACGGGUGCGGUAACACGUAUACAAUCUACCUUAAACAGGGGGAUAGCCUUUCGAAAGAGAGAUUAAUACCCCGUAAUAAAUUGAACGGCAUCGUUUGAUUUUGAAAGCUCCGGGCGGUUUGAGAUGAGUAUGCGUCUGAUUAGCUAGUUGGUGAGGUAACGGCUCACCAAGGCGACGAUCAUAGGGGACCUGAGAGGAUAACCCCCACACUGGUACUGAGACACGGACCAGACUCCUACGGGAGGCAGCAGUAAGGAAUAUUGGUCAAUGGAGGCAACUCUGAACCAGCCAUGCCGCGUGCAGGAUGACGGCCCUAUGGGUUGUAAACUGCUUUUAUACAAGAGAAAACCCUGGUACGUGUACCAAGUUGAUAGUAUUGUAAGAAUAAGCAUCGGCUAACUUCGUG
Molecule: ribosomal RNA, 494 nt
Filed under: uncultured bacterium
Lineage: Bacteria
Description: bacterial SSU rRNA
Rfam family: Bacterial small subunit ribosomal RNA
Source: RNAcentral